RNAcentral lists this ribosomal RNA (501 nucleotides) under uncultured bacterium. RNAcentral's name for it is "partial 16S ribosomal RNA". It matches the Rfam family "Bacterial small subunit ribosomal RNA", at positions 29 to 523 of the family's 1533-position model. The record is from RNAcentral.
AUUGAACGCUGGCGGCAUGCCUUACACAUGCAAGUCGAACGGCAGCACGGGUGCUUGCACCUGGUGGCGAGUGGCGAACGGGUGAGUAAUACAUCGGAACGUACCUUAUCGUGGGGGAUAACGCAGCGAAAGCUGUGCUAAUACCGCAUACGCCCUGAGGGGGAAAGCGGGGGAUCGCAAGACCUCGCGCGAUUAGAGCGGCCGAUGCCUGAUUAGCUUGUUGGUGGGGUAAAAGCCCACCAAGGCGACGAUCAGUAGCUGGUCUGAGAGGACGAUCAGCCACACUGGGACUGAGAAACGGCCCAGACUCCUACGGGAGGCAGCAGGGGGGAAUUUUGGACAAUGGGGGCAACCCUGAUCCAGCAAUGCCGCGUGAGUGAAGAAGGCCUUCGGGUUGUAAAGCUCUUUUGUCAGGGAAGAAACACCGGCUCUAACACAGUCCGGGAAUGACGGUACCUGAAGAAUAAGCACCGGCUAACUACGUGCCAGCCGCCGCUGUAA